RNAcentral lists this ribosomal RNA (253 nucleotides) under uncultured bacterium. RNAcentral's name for it is "partial 16S ribosomal RNA". It matches the Rfam family "Bacterial small subunit ribosomal RNA", at positions 524 to 776 of the family's 1533-position model. The record is from RNAcentral.
UACGGGGGGGGUAAGCGUUGUUCGGAAUUACUGGGCGUAAAGGGCUCGUAGGCGGCCAACUAAGUCGGACGUGAAAUCCCUCAGCUUAACUGGGGAACUGCGUCCGAUACUGGAUGGCUUGGAUUUGGGAGAGGGAUGCGGAAUUCCAGGUGUAGCGGUGAAAUGCGUAGAGAUCGGGAGGAACACCAGUGGCGAAGGCGGCUACCUGGACCUCGGCUGACGCUGAGGCGCGAAAGCGUGGGGAGCGAUCCGG